RNAcentral lists this ribosomal RNA (610 nucleotides) under Acarospora admissa. RNAcentral describes it as "SSU rRNA". It matches the Rfam family "Bacterial small subunit ribosomal RNA", at positions 377 to 1070 of the family's 1533-position model. Lineage: Eukaryota; Fungi; Ascomycota; Lecanoromycetes; Acarosporales; Acarosporaceae. The record is from RNAcentral.
CGAAGCUAGUUGUAUUAACUAUUAGUUAAUGCAAGAUCGACUACGUCGACUAAAGUUCUAGGUAGAAUAAUGAUGAUGACAAUUUUUUACCUAUAUGUCUUGACCAAGUCUCGUGCCAGCAGUCGCGGUAAUACGUGGAAGACUAGUGUUAUUCAUCUUUAAUAGGUUUAAAGGGUACCUAGACGGUAUUUCUAGCCCAAAACAGGGUACGGAUUUACUAGAGUUUUAUGUGAGGAGGGGAGUACUCAUGGAGUAGAGAUGAAAUUUUGUGAUACUAUGAGGAAACUGGUGGCGGCGAAAGCAACCUUCUAUGUAUAAACUGACGUUGAGGGACGAAGGCUUGGGUAGCAAAUAGGAUUAGAUACCCUAGUAGUCCAAGCAGACAAUUCUGAAUGCCAUAGAUUAGAUUCUUUUUGGUCUAUAAAUGAAAGUGUAAGCAUUCCACCUUAGGAGUAAUGUGGCAACACAGGAACUGAAAUCAUUAGACCGUUUCUGAAACCAGUAGUGAAGUAUGUUGUUUAAUUUGACGGUCCACAAAAAACCUCACCACAACUUGAAUAUUAUUAAAUUAAUACAAGCGUUGCACGGCUGUCUUCAGUUAAUGUCGUGA